This is a non-coding RNA of Callithrix jacchus (white-tufted-ear marmoset), 658 nucleotides long. The record is from RefSeq and is a predicted model, not a curated record. NCBI's taxonomy places the organism in Eukaryota, Metazoa, Chordata, Mammalia, Primates, Cebidae.
GUGGCAACCCAGGCCGGACAAGGGACCAGUCUCCCUCCAGACCCAGGCCGGAGGGAGGGACAGCCGGGAAGGGCAAGGGUCCCUGGGGGCAUCCACUGAGGCCGCUCCAGCCCUCCCCCCAAGGCCUCCUCCAACACCCGACCCGGAACCAACUCCCCACAUCUCUCACUCGCCGAAGCCCCCGGAUCCCCACCCCCGGGUGGGGGUGCAGGUCGGCCCGAUCGCAGCUCUCAGAAUCCCCGAAUAGAGGCCAAGGCUGGAGGGUGCUAGAAAGAUGAUCGCCCGGGCCCGGAGCUGGGGGCCCAGAGCCGCAUUGUUACCUCCUGUGACCCCCACAACGUGCUCUCAGAUGGUCAUUGAUGGAGUCUCACUUUGUUGCCCAGGAUGGAGGGCAGUGGCGCGAUCUCAGCUCUCUGCAACCUCUGCCUCCCAGGUUCAAGCAAUUCUCCUGCCUCAGCCUCCCGAGUAGCUGAGACUACAGGCGCAUGCCACCACGCCCAGCCAACCUUCUGAGAAAAGCAAUAAGCAAUCAAUCCAUUUCCUGUCUCUCAUUCACACCUUGAAUCACGGAAAUCAGGUUUAUACCUCAUUUCUCCUCUGAAAUCUCCCCCAAAUCCCUCAGUUGUCAAAUCUAAUAAAUAUUCUAGUCAUUGUCGUA